This 799-nucleotide ribosomal RNA is filed under the name uncultured organism. RNAcentral describes it as "bacterial SSU rRNA". It matches the Rfam family "Bacterial small subunit ribosomal RNA", at positions 19 to 826 of the family's 1533-position model. The record is from RNAcentral.
CUGGCUCAGAAUGAACGUUGGCGGCGUGGAUUAGGCAUGCAAGUCGUGCGAGAAGCCCUCUUCGGAGGGUGGACAGCGGCGAAAGGGAGAGUAACGCGUGGAUACCAACCCCCAGGACCGGGAUAGCCGCGGGAAACCGCGGGUAAUACCGGAUAAUGUCUCCGGACCAAAGGUGUGAUUCCGGCUGGGGACGGGUCCGCGUACUAUAAGCGUGUAGGUGAGGUAACGGCUCACCAAGGCGACGAUGGGUACCGGGUGUGAGAGCAUGGCCCGGCUCACUGGGACUGAGACACUGCCCAGACACCUACGGGUGGCUGCAGUCGAGAAUCUUCGGCAAUGGACGCAAGUCCGACCGAGCGACGCCGCGUGCGGGAUGACGGCCUUCGGGUUGUAAACCGCUGUCAGAGGGGAGGAAAUCCUGUGGGGUUCCCUCCACAGGUUGACCUAUCCUCAGAGGAAGUACGGGCUAAGUUCGUGCCAGCAGCCGCGGUAAGACGAACCGUACAAACGUUAUUCGGAAUCACUGGGCUUAAAGGGUGCGUAGGCGGCCCUGCAAGUUGGGUGUGAAAGCCCUCGGCUCAACCGAGGAAUUGCGCCCAAAACUGCGGGGCUUGAGGGAGACAGAGGUGAGCGGAACUUAGGGUGGAGCGGUGAAAUGCGUUGAUAUCCUGAGGAACACCUGUAGCGAAAGCGGCUCACUGGGUCUCUUCUGACGCUGAGGCACGAAAGCUAAGGGGAGCGAACCGGGAUUAGAUACCCCGGUAGUCCUAGCUGUAAACCGUUGAGCACUUGGUCGGAG